GGGAUUGCCCCAGUAACGGCGAGUGAAGCGGCAACAGCUCAAAUUUGAAAUCUGGCCCUAGGCCCGAGUUGUAAUUUGUAGAGGAUGCUUUUGGUAAGGCUGCUGCUCAAGUCCCCUGGAACGGGGCGCCUUAGAGGGUGAGAGCCCCGUACGGUAUGCGGCCGAACCUCUGUAAAGCUCCUUCGACGAGUCGAGUAGUUUGGGAAUGCUGCUCUAAAUGGGAGGUAAAUUUCUUCUAAAGCUAAAUACCGGCCAGAGACCGAUAGCGCACAAGUAGAGUGAUCGAAAGAUGAAAAGCACUUUGAAAAGAGGGUUAAAUAGCACGUGAAAUUGUUGAAAGGGAAGCGCUUGUGACCAGACUUGCGCCCGGCGGAUCAUCCGGCGUUCUCGCCGGUGCACUCCGCCGGGCUCAGGCCAGCAUCGGUUUUCGCCGGGGGACAAAAGCUUCGGGAACGUAGCUCCCUUCGGGGAGUGUUAUAGCUCGUUGCAUAAUACCCCGGCGGGGACCGAGGACCGCGCUUCGGCAAGGAUGCUGGCGUAAUGGUCAUCAGCGACCCGUCUUGAAACACGGACCAAGGAGUCAAGCAUUAGUGCGAGUGUUUGGGUGUAAAACCCGCACGCGUAAUGAAAGUGAACGUAGGUGAGAGCUUCGGCGCAUCAUCGACCGAUCCUGAUGUUUUCGGAUGGAUUUGAGUAGGAGCAUUAACGCUUGGACCCGAAAGAUGGUGAACUAUACUUGAAUAGGGUGAAGCCAGAGGAAACUCUGGUGGAGGCUCGCAGCGGUUCUGACGUGCAAAUCGAUCGUCAAAUUUG
This 813-nucleotide ribosomal RNA is filed under the name Magnaporthaceae sp. Its description in RNAcentral is "partial large subunit ribosomal RNA". It matches the Rfam family "Eukaryotic large subunit ribosomal RNA", at positions 71 to 913 of the family's 3401-position model. The record is from RNAcentral. Lineage: Eukaryota; Fungi; Ascomycota; Sordariomycetes; Magnaporthales; Magnaporthaceae.